Molecule: RNase P RNA, 357 nt
Filed under: Alphaproteobacteria bacterium
Lineage: Bacteria; Pseudomonadati; Pseudomonadota; Alphaproteobacteria
Description: partial RNase P RNA component class A
Rfam family: Bacterial RNase P class A
About the family: Ribonuclease P (RNase P) is a ubiquitous endoribonuclease, found in archaea, bacteria and eukarya as well as chloroplasts and mitochondria.
Source: RNAcentral
UCAGAUGGCCGGAUGGCCGCCUUCCGGUGUUGCCGGGGGGAGGAAAGUCCGGGCUCCGCGGAGACACGGUGCCGGGUAACGCCCGGCGGGGGCGACCCCAGGGAAAGUGCCACAGAAAGCAAACCGCCCGUAAGCCAGCCGCCCCACGGGGUGCUGGCGCUUUGCGGGCAAGGGUGAAAGGGUGCGGUAAGAGCGCACCGCGUCGCCGGCAACGGCGAUGGCAGGGCAAACCCCACCGGGAGCAAGACCGCAUAGGGGCGGCGCGCCGCAAGGCAGGCGGGUCUUCGCGCCGGCCGCCCGGGUAGGUCGCGCGAGGCGUCCGGUAACGGACGUCCCAGAUGAAUGGCCAUCGCCCGC